Molecule: unclassified non-coding RNA, 1606 nt
Filed under: Leishmania donovani
Lineage: Eukaryota; Euglenozoa; Kinetoplastea; Trypanosomatida; Trypanosomatidae
Description: gene:unknown
Source: RNAcentral
GAAAGGAAGUGUUUGUGUGCUGAAAGGUCGACUCUUUCCUUUCUCGCGCUUCACCCACCCACGCACGUACCCCCUUCCCUACCCCUUGCACACUCUGUCCCGCCACAACUUUUCUCCUACCUUACGCCCGCUGCGUCACUCCCAUAGGGCCUCCCUGUGCACCGGGCAACCAAAAAGGAGGGAGGCGUGUCACGCACAGACAGAGACGUGCCCUCUUCCCUCUCCCUUCCACCCCCCUCCCUCCCGCCCUCACUCUUCUGGCGAACAGGACUCUUAUAUUUCGCGCGUCCGUGGUGCAUCCGCGCCUUUUUCGUGUGCGUUAUUCACUUUACUGUCGCGCGUGUUGGGUUUGUCUCUGCCGCCACCACCGCCACCGUCACCGCCACCGCAGCGGCUCUUCGAUCCAAAUCAGCGCGAGCACAGAGACGGAGGCGGAGACGAGCCGGGCGACAGACAAACGUCACGGCGACAAGGCACAAGAGAAGGAAACUCAGGCAACGAAACAAAUCGCGCGUGCCGUCAUUCGAAGGAACGGACGGAAGCCCACGCACAGACACACAUUUUUAUGGUAGAGAACGACGCACCUGUCAUUGAUAUUAACAUAAGUAUAUACAUAGUUAUAUAGUGCUCUGUGCUCGUUGUGUUGCGCUCGUCUGUGGUUGGUUUGAUUUGGUUCGUAAGGCAUCUUUUUUUUUGGGUUUGCUCUCUCUCUCUUCGGCUUGUUCGUGUUGCGGUUGUUGCUCUUUUUCUCUUAGCGAGCUCAUCCUCGCCAUUGCUGUGUGUGUGUGUGUGUGUGUGUGUGUGUGUGUGUGUGCGCCGGCGUCUGGAUAGUCAACGCGCCGCAAGUUGCAGGCCUGGCCCUCGUCUCCUCGGUGGUGGUGGUGGUGGUCUACCCAUUGUAUUGCCGUAUCCUCUUUCUUCUUCGCUGUGCGCGUCUGGACGCCGCUCCGUUUCUUUUCGUUGUUUUCCUCUCCGUGUGUGAGUGUAUAUACAUAUAUACACACAUAUGCAUACAUACAGCAGCAGCAGCCACCCAUACCUGGUGCACUCAUUUUUUUUGGGUUCGCUUGUGUUUUCUCAUUUGCGUGUCUUCCACUUGGCAAGGCGGCGGUUGGGAAGGUGCCGAACCGGAGAAAGAGGCCCCAUUUCUUUUUAGCUGGUUCAAAGAACCAAAGAGAGCAGCGUACGCGCUGCCAGCACCUUCGCGCGCUCUUCAUUCGCCCUGUGUGUCGCCUGCCACCCACCUACCCCCACCUACACCUACCCCUCUACCAUCCCCUUCUGUCGUUUGAACUACUCGUGCAUCUCGUUCUUCUUUCGUGAGGUUGUCGCACCUCUACCUGGCUAGCCAGCUAUCCCUCUCUCCCUCUUGACGGUGACUAACACCGCCGUCGCUGGCCUUGCAUCUUCUCUGUUUCUUCUUGUCCUCCCCUCCCCUCCCCUCCCCUCCCCCUACCCUUUGUUUGGAUCACAUCCACGAGCGCUCAUAUCACCGGCCCCACCGGCCCACCUGCCACAGGCUUCCCUCCCCCUCCCCUCUCCCCUCUCUCCUCCACUGCCGCCAUCACCCAUCUUCUCACCUUCUUCUUUAUUUGCUUUUCGGCAG